Molecule: long non-coding RNA, 1513 nt
Filed under: Mus musculus (house mouse)
Lineage: Eukaryota; Metazoa; Chordata; Mammalia; Rodentia; Muridae
Description: long non-coding RNA chr9:104262104-104263617
Source: RNAcentral
ACAGCCCAGCACGGGCAACAGUGAACAGGCCAGGCUACUUUACAAGAAGGAAAAGCCUUGGGGGGAAAACUUGGUGUUUGAUAAAGGACUUGAGGAAGAGAACAGCAGCUGCCCCUCCUUUCCCAUCAAAUCGAAACAAAACUGAGACGAGGAAAAAAGAAAGAAAAAAAAAAAAAAAUCGAGUCUACGCGGGACCCCAGAGGAAGGAAGCAGGACCGCUAACCUAAGAAAACCGGAGGCGCCGGCAUCCAGGAGGGAAUCCCGAGGGCGGAGCCCACAGGGGAAGGAGGUGUGGAGUUGAGUCGGGGAGAGUUGCCGAGAGAAGUGGGGGACAGGGAUAGUGAUGGGAGAAAAGACGGCCAGGCAGAGAGAGGGGUGGGGCUGCCGGGCAGUGCCCCGGGCAAAUGUCACUCAGAGCCGGGGGAGGGGAGGGUCCGAGCGCAGGGAUCCCUGGACGGAGGAUCGCGGCUUCAGCAGGUUCGAGCCACACACAGCAGCUUAACGCCGCCCGCUCUGGGGUCCCUGCCCGGAGCCCCCGGGUCCCCGAAGGUGGGAAGCGGCAUCGCAGAAACCCAGAGCCGGAGGCGGCUUUACCUUCGCAGGAGGCUGGAGGCGCUCCAGCCCGAGCUCCGCCCGCCGCCGGCUCCACGUCUUGAGUAGGAUGGAGGCGCCGCCGGCCCCGUCCCCUCUCGCUUUCCUUUUCCCCGCCGGGGCCUGUCGCCGCGGGUUCCUGCGCCGCGGCCCCCACCCCUCCGCUCCUCCCUCUGCCUCUCAGAGGCUCGCCCUGGACGCCGCCAUCUUCCACCAGGCUUGCGAGCGCUGAACCCUAACGCGCGUGCGUGGCCGCCGCCCCGGCCGUCACGAGACCCUGUCAGCUGACCUCGGCGCUUCCGCCUCGCGCCCCGCCCUCGGGAGCACUGUGCUCCCUCCCUCGGUGGCCCAUUCGCCGUCUUCCGGGAAGCGCCGCGUGCGCGCCGCCCGCCGUUCCGCCUCUCGGGAAGUACGCGUGCGCUUAGCGAAAGAGAGCCUUGGCCCAAGCAGAAGGCGAGGCGCCACGCCCCCUGGAGCGGUCCGAGAGGCCACGCCCCCUGAAUCCCUGGAGACACGCCUCUCAGCCAGACGCUGGCAUUGGCUACUGUAACUCUGCAAAGGAGCAGCUCUGUUACCUAGCCCUAGUCUUCAGUGUCCUGGCGCAUCCACGAAGCCGUCGAAAGCCUCAGUGCGCAUCUCUGGUUUAGCUGCAUCGUGGGCAUAACUUUUACUCGCUACUGACACACCCUGAACGCGGAUUUAAGUUUUGAGUGUUCAGGGAGAUAAUGGAGACCGAAGCCUCAGAGGUCAAAGGCCUUUGCGGGUGAAGUGUUGGGACAGUUAACACUGCUGCCUUCCUGGACCUCUGAUCCCAGAGCCAGGAUUUAAUUGGCCAACUACUUAAGGUCAAUUAACUUGCAGCCGUCUGAGAUAGGGAUUAUCCUCUAUUUUCAGAUAAUAAAUUGAUGUGUAGUUCCACAGU